CCACGGGAGGCUGCAGUCAGGAAUAUUCCGCAAUGCACGAAAGUGUGACGGAGCGACGCCGCGUGUAGGAAGCAGCCCUUCGGGGUGUAAACUACUUUUAUAUGGGAAGAAUUUUUGACGGUACCAUAUGAAUAAGAGGUUGCAAACUCUGUGCCAGCAGCAGCGGUAAUACAGAGACCUCAAGCGUUAUCCGGAUUCAUUGGGCGUAAAGCGUCCGCAGGUGGUUUUCUAAGUUGGGAGUCAAAUCUUUGGGCUUAACCUAAAGACUGCUUUCAAUACUGGGAAACUUGAGACUGGGAGAGGCACACGGAACUGUUGGUGUAGUAGUAAAAUGCGUUGAUAUCAACAGGAACACCAAAGGCGAAAGCAGUGUGCUGGAACAGUUCUGACACUCAUGGACGAAAGCGUGGGGAGCGAAUGGGAUUAGAUACCCUCGUAGUC
RNAcentral lists this ribosomal RNA (441 nucleotides) under uncultured bacterium. RNAcentral's name for it is "partial 16S ribosomal RNA". It matches the Rfam family "Bacterial small subunit ribosomal RNA", at positions 339 to 795 of the family's 1533-position model. The record is from RNAcentral.